GAAAUGCGAUAAGUAAUGUGAAUUGCAGAAUUCAGUGAAUCAUCGAAUCUUUGAACGCACAUUGCGCCCCUUGGUAUUCCGGGGGGCAUGCCUGUUCGAGCGUCAUUACACCACUCAAGCCUGGCUUGGUAUUGGGCGUCGCGGCCGCCGCGCGCCUCAAAGUCUCCGGCUGGGUCUUUCACCUCUAAGCGUUGUGACACAAUCCAUUCGCUUCGUGGAUGUGGGGGGCCCGCGCCGUUAAACGAUUUUUAUCUAAAGGUUGACCUCGGAUCAGGUAGGGAUACCCGCUGAACUUAA
This 297-nucleotide unclassified non-coding RNA is filed under the name uncultured Teratosphaeriaceae. RNAcentral's name for it is "sequence contains ITS1". The stretch from base 1 to 105 matches the Rfam family "5.8S ribosomal RNA", at positions 50 to 154 of the family's 154-position model. The record is from RNAcentral. Lineage: Eukaryota; Fungi; Ascomycota; Dothideomycetes; Mycosphaerellales; Teratosphaeriaceae.